Molecule: long non-coding RNA, 333 nt
Filed under: Monodelphis domestica (gray short-tailed opossum)
Lineage: Eukaryota; Metazoa; Chordata; Mammalia; Didelphimorphia; Didelphidae
Description: lncRNA (ENSMODG00000031086.2)
Source: RNAcentral
GUGACUUGGGGAAGCAUUGAACUGACUCAACCUCUCUUUAAAUAGACAACUGGGAACUCAACUGCCAUGUGCAAUCACUGGAUUAAAUAGUUUCAAAUGGCAAACAGUUUAGAGUGUGACAAAUGUACCAGGAGACUGUACCCAUUUGUAUAUGGAAUGGAAGAGAAGUUGGUCCAGGUGAAUUCUCUGAGUUCUGCAAGCUCAGGAGGGCAAGCCUGGGAGUAUGGAAGUCCAGGAAUCCAGGACUUGAGUUCAUACCAGCUUCUACCACUAGUCCAACAUCGAAGCCCCAAGAAUCAGGAAGCAACCUUUGAGCCCCAGACUAAUGGAUAA